ACGAACGCUGGCGGCGUGCUUAACACAUGCAAGUCGAACGGAAAGGCCCUGCUUUUGUGGGGUGCUCGAGUGGCGAACGGGUGCGUAACACGUGAGUAACCUGCCCUUGACUUUGGGAUAACUUCAGGAAACUGGGGCUAAUACCGGAUAGGAGCUCCUGCUGCAUGGUGGGGGUUGGAAAGUUUCGGCGGUUGGGGAUGGACUCGCGGCUUAUCAGCUUGUUGGUGGGGUAGUGGCUUACCAAGGCUUUGACGGGUAGCCGGCCUGAGAGGGUGACCGGCCACAUUGGGACUGAGAUACGGCCCAGACUCCUACGGGAGGCAGCAGUGGGGAAUAUUGCACAAUGGGCGGAAGCCUGAUGCAGCAACGCCGCGUGCGGGAUGACGGCCUUCGGGUUGUAAACCGCUUUCGCCUGUGACGAAGCGUGAGUGACGGUAAUGGGUAAAGAAGCACCGGCUAACUACGU
This 466-nucleotide ribosomal RNA is filed under the name uncultured bacterium. Its description in RNAcentral is "partial 16S ribosomal RNA". It matches the Rfam family "Bacterial small subunit ribosomal RNA", at positions 29 to 506 of the family's 1533-position model. The record is from RNAcentral.